UGGGGAAUAUUGGACAAUGGGCGCAAGCCUGAUCCAGCAAUGCCGCGUGUGUGAAGAAGGUCUUCGGAUUGUAAAGCACUUUCGACGGGGACGAUGAUGACGGUACCCGUAGAAGAAGCCCCGGCUAACUUCGUGCCAGCAGCCGCGGUAAUACGAAGGGGGCUAGCGUUGCUCGGAAUGACUGGGCGUAAAGGGCGCGUAGGCGGCUUGUACAGUCAGAUGUGAAAUUCCCGGGCUUAACCUGGGGGCUGCAUUUGAUACUGGUAGGCUUGAGUAUGGAAGAGGGUCGUGGAAUUCCCAGUGUAGAGGUGAAAUUCGUAGAUAUUGGGAAGAACACCGGUGGCGAAGGCGGCGACCUGGUCCAUAACUGACGCUGAGGCGCGAAAGCGUGGGGAGCAAA
This 400-nucleotide ribosomal RNA is filed under the name uncultured bacterium. RNAcentral's name for it is "bacterial SSU rRNA". It matches the Rfam family "Bacterial small subunit ribosomal RNA", at positions 355 to 772 of the family's 1533-position model. The record is from RNAcentral.